RNAcentral lists this ribosomal RNA (792 nucleotides) under uncultured archaeon. Its description in RNAcentral is "bacterial SSU rRNA". It matches the Rfam family "Archaeal small subunit ribosomal RNA", at positions 85 to 879 of the family's 1478-position model. The record is from RNAcentral.
ACGGCUCAGUAACACGUGGACACUUACCCAAGAGUCCGGGAUAACCCCGGGAAACUGGGGAUAAUACCGGAUAGAUCAUCUGUGCUGGAAGGCUGGGUAGUUGAAACUUCCGGGGCUUUUGGAUGGGUCUGCGGCUGAUUAGGUUGUUGCCGGUGUAACGUACCGUCAAGCCUGUAAUCAGUACGGGUUGUGGGAGCAAGAGCCCGGAGAUGGAUUCUGAGACACGAAUCCAGGCCCUACGGGGCGCAGCAGGCGCGAAAACUCUACAAUGCAGGCAACUGCGAUAGGGGAACAUCGAGUGAUCCUCAUAUUGGGGGUCUGUCCACCCGUCUAAAAAACGGGUGUUAGCAAGGGCCGGGCAAGACCGGUGCCAGCCGCCGCGGUAAUACCGGCGGCUCGAGUGGUGGCCGAUAUUAUUGAGUCUAAAGGGUCCGUAGCCGGCUUUGCAAGUCUCUCGGGAAAUCCAGCGGCUUAACCGUUGGUCGUCCGGGGGGUACUACAUUGCUUGGGACUGGGAGAGGUAGGAGGUACUCAGGGGGUAGGAGUGAAAUCCUGUAAUCCUUUGGGGACCACCGGUGGCGAAGGCGUCCUACCAGAACAGGUCCGACGGUGAGGGACGAAAGCUAGGGGCACGAACCGGAUUAGAUACCCGGGUAGUCCUAGCCGUAAACGAUGCUCGCUAGGUGUCACAACAGUCGUGAAUUGUUGUGGUGCCGUAGGGAAGCCGUGAAGCGAGCCACUUGGGAAGUACGACCGCAAGGUUGAAACUUAGAGGAAUUGGCGGGGGAGCAC